GCAGCUGCCUUCCGCUUCUUUGACACCCUCGGCGUUGCCACCAUCGGAGAGUGCCACAUCCCUGACAGCAUGGCCCAGGCGCUUUUCUUCCCUAAGCUUAACAAGCUCGGGCUUGAAAAUGUCACCAUAUCCGAAUCCUCACUACAAACCAUGAUUGAUGGUUGCCCCGCUCUAGAGUGCUUGCUGAUUCGCCGCUGCUCUGGCUUCCGUUGUGUCCGAAUCAACUCCAUCAGCCUUAGAGGCAUAGGUGUGGAAGCUUAUCGGGGAGAGCUCAUCAUAUUAGAGGAAGUCAUCAUCGAGAAUGCCCCUUGUCUUGAAAGGUUGCUCCUAUUUGGCUCAGCUGAAUCCCGACAUAUAUCGGUAAUCUCCGCACCUAAAUUGGAGACCCUAGGCUGCCUAUCUUCCCAUUUAUCUGAUUUUUGUCAACAUGAUUUUAGUACCACACUCACGCUAUACUCGACAGUUAUUCAGGGAUUGCGUGUUGAUAGCUUGACGAAGACGGUGCGCACUGUCAAGAUUUUAUCUGUUCGUAUGAUUGCUCUUAGUUUGGAUGUUGUUAUUGACUUGAUGAGAUGCUUUCCUUGCUUGGAAAGGCUGUACGUUGAGUCAAUUCAGCCAGGGAAAAAGAAUUUGUGGCGCCGUAAACACCAGAAUCUAAUAAGAUCUCUUGACAUCCGUCUGAAGACAAUUGACUGGCGAUAUUAUGUGGGCACCAAGUCAGAUGUUGACUUUGCCACAUUCUUUUUACUAAACGCGAGAGUGCUAGAGUUAAUGACUCUUCAGGUUUAUCAUAGUAAUUUCAAAGAGGAGUUUUUUACACGGCAACAUGAGAAGCUUCAACUGGAUAAGAAGGCCUCAGGAGGUGCUCGGCUUCAUUUUACAACGGAUAAUUUUCAUGGCAGUUUUACGGAUUUCUGUGUCCGUGAUUUGGAUCUAGCUGAUCCCUUUGAAAGG
Molecule: ribosomal RNA, 954 nt
Filed under: Triticum aestivum (bread wheat)
Lineage: Eukaryota; Viridiplantae; Streptophyta; Magnoliopsida; Poales; Poaceae
Description: partial small subunit ribosomal RNA
Source: RNAcentral